AACGAACGCUGGCGGCAUGCCUAACACAUGCAAGUCGAGCGAAGUCUUCGGACUUAGUGGCGCACGGGUGCGUAACGCGUGGGAAUCUGCCCUUGGGUGCGGAAUAACUUCUCGAAAGGGAUGCUAAUACCGCAUAAUGUCGUAAGACCAAAGAUUUAUCGCCCAAGGAUGAGCCCGCGUAAGAUUAGCUAGUUGGUGGGGUAAAAGCCUACCAAGGCGACGAUCUUUGGCUGGUCUGAGAGGAUGAUCAGCCACACUGGGACUGAGACACGGCCCAGACUCCUACGGGAGGCAGCAGUGGGGAAUAUUGGACAAUGGGCGAAAGCCUGAUCCAGCAAUGCCGCGUGAGUGAUGAAGGCCCUAGGGUUGUAAAGACUCUUUUACCUAGGGAUGAUAAUGACAGUA
Molecule: ribosomal RNA, 405 nt
Filed under: uncultured bacterium
Lineage: Bacteria
Description: bacterial SSU rRNA
Rfam family: Bacterial small subunit ribosomal RNA
Source: RNAcentral